RNAcentral lists this unclassified non-coding RNA (389 nucleotides) under soil metagenome. RNAcentral describes it as "partial contains 5.8S ribosomal RNA, internal transcribed spacer 2, and large subunit ribosomal RNA". The stretch from base 1 to 120 matches the Rfam family "5.8S ribosomal RNA", at positions 35 to 154 of the family's 154-position model. The record is from RNAcentral.
GAUGAAGAACGCAGCGAAAUGCGAUAAGUAAUGUGAAUUGCAGAAUUCAGUGAAUCAUCGAAUCUUUGAACGCACCUUGCGCUCCUUGGUAUUCCGAGGAGCAUGCCUGUUUGAGUGUCAUUAAAUUCUCAACCUUAUUGGCUUUUGCUGAUAAUGGCUUGGACUUGGGGGUCUUUUUGCUGGCUUUCAUUAGUCUGCUCCCCUUAAAUGUAUUAGCCGGUGCCCCGCAGUGGAACCGUCUAUUGGUGUGAUAAUUAUCUACGCCGUGGACGUCUGCUAUAAUGGGUUUGCGCUGCUUCUAACCGUCUCUCGGGACAACACAAAUGACAAUUUGACCUCAAAUCAGGUAGGACUACCCGCUGAACUUAAGCAUAUCAAUAAGCGGAGGA